UGGAGCAUGAGGAGGUUCCACUGGAGGUGAGGGGAGGUUCUGGAGGAGGAUUUGCCACCGUGGCACUGGGAAUGUGGAGGUUGAGGUUGUGGUUUGGGCUGCACUGUGGGGUGGAUGGUGCCAUGAGGCCCCUGAUGUGGGGCCACAUGGGUGCCCUGGAGAUGCUGUGAUGCCACAAGGUAGAAGAAGAAGAAGGAGCUUUUGUGGGGCUGGUGUGAGGUUCUGGGCCCCAAAUCUGGGGUUUGGUGGGGUUUGAUGGGCAUUUGAUGGGGUUUUGAUGUGCAUUUGGUGAAGUUUGAU
Pezoporus flaviventris is the source of this 300-nucleotide long non-coding RNA. RefSeq lists it as uncharacterized. Lineage: Eukaryota; Metazoa; Chordata; Aves; Psittaciformes; Psittacidae. The transcript is spliced from 3 exons. The record is from RefSeq and is a predicted model, not a curated record.